AUACGAAGGGGGCUAGCGUUUGCUCGGAAUGACUGGGCGUAAAGGGUCGUGUAGGCGGUUUACACAGUCAGAUGUGAAAUCCCCGGGCUUAACCUGGGAGCUGCAUUUGAUACGUGUAGACUAGAGUGUGAGAGAGGGUUGUGGAAUUCCCAGUGUAGAGGUGAAAUUCGUAGAUAUUGGGAAGAACACCGGUGGCGAAGGCGGCAACCUGGCUCAUGACCGACGCUGAGGCGCGAAAGCGUGGGGAGC
This 249-nucleotide ribosomal RNA is filed under the name uncultured bacterium. Its description in RNAcentral is "partial 16S ribosomal RNA". It matches the Rfam family "Bacterial small subunit ribosomal RNA", at positions 523 to 769 of the family's 1533-position model. The record is from RNAcentral.